AAAAUACUCUGGAUCAAGGUAACCCUGCAAAGUCAAAAUAAUGUUUGAGACAUCAGGAUAUCCCUACUUACAACAGAUCAAAAAGCUUUAGUAUAUUUAUCAGUUGACAUACUCUUCUUAAACUUGGUUAUUCUUUUCAAAAUCAAUUAAUAAGUGGUGAUUAAAAAACCAUGAUUCAGAACGUCCCGACCUACAAAUAUACAACAAAUUUAAAUAGUUUUCUCCUUAAUGGAUUUUGGAGUAUGACUUAAUGAGUCAAUUUGCUAAAACACAAUGUUUGUCAUCACAUUGAACAAAUAAAUUCAAAUGUUUUUUGUUUUAUCCAUUUGCAGGUUAAUGAACUGUGAUGCAAUUCAUUACUUGUAUCCAAAAUGUCGAGAUGCGGAUAUGCUACAAACUGAGUGCUAAUGAUAAAACAAAAGGAACAAAGAAGGCCAAGAUCAACUCCCUGAAGAAGGGAAACUUGGAAUUUAGUAGUCCUUCUAGAGAAUAUAGAUAUAGUAAACUUACUGGAGUACCCUUCACUACUGUGG
This 533-nucleotide unclassified non-coding RNA is filed under the name Hevea brasiliensis (rubber tree). The record is from RNAcentral. Lineage: Eukaryota; Viridiplantae; Streptophyta; Magnoliopsida; Malpighiales; Euphorbiaceae.